UGAGGAAUAUUGGACAAUGGAUGGAAAUCUGAUCCAGCCAUGCCGCGUGCAGGAAGACGGCCCUAUGGGUUGUAAACUGCUUUUGUAUGGGAGCAAUAAGGACUACGUGUAGUUUGAUGAGAGUACCCUACGAAUAAGCAUCGGCUAACUCCGUGCCAGCAGCCGCGGUAAUACGGAGGAUGCGAGCGUUAUCCGGAUUUAUUGGGUUUAAAGGGUGCGUAGGCGGCGAUAUAAGUCAGUGGUGAAAUAUUUCGGCUUAACCGAGGGACUGCCAUUGAUACUGUGUUGCUAGAAUAUGGUUGCUGUGAGUGGAAUGUGUGGUGUAGCGGUGAAAUGCUUAGAUAUCACACAGAAUAUCGAUUGCGAAGGCAGCUCACAAAGCCAUUAUUGACGCUGAGGCACGAAAGUGUGGGGAUCAAACA
This 422-nucleotide ribosomal RNA is filed under the name uncultured bacterium. RNAcentral's name for it is "bacterial SSU rRNA". It matches the Rfam family "Bacterial small subunit ribosomal RNA", at positions 355 to 774 of the family's 1533-position model. The record is from RNAcentral.